UACGUAGGGGGCAAGCGUUGUCCGGAUUUAUUGGGCGUAAAGAGCGUGUAGGCGGCCUGACAGGUCUGCUGUGAAAACUCGAGGCUCAACCUCGAGAUGUCGGCGGAAACCGUCUGGCUAGAGUCCGGAAGAGGAGAGUGGAAUUCCUGGUGUAGCGGUGAAAUGCGCAGAUAUCAGGAAGAACACCUAUGGCGAAGGCAGCUCUCUGGGACGGUACCGACGCUGAGACGCGAAAGCGUGGGGAGCGAACAGG
This 253-nucleotide ribosomal RNA is filed under the name uncultured bacterium. RNAcentral describes it as "partial 16S ribosomal RNA". It matches the Rfam family "Bacterial small subunit ribosomal RNA", at positions 524 to 776 of the family's 1533-position model. The record is from RNAcentral.